UGUCAAAUCGGAAGCUAACAGCGUGGCUAGGGCUAGUGGAACUUUGUUCCGUGUUCUUUUAAGCAAACAUGUUGUAAUAAACUGGCAGUACUGCGCAAAUUAUUGGAUCUUUUGCAAGGUUUGCACUACUUUGGCAAGUAACAAAGAGUGAAAAGUCGUUUAAAUUAAAUUCUACAGCACUUUAAGGCAUGGAACAACUUCAAGCUUUACUUGACACCACAACAGCUUAUUCUUCCAAUUUGUAAUUAAUUUUGAUUACGUGUCACAGCUGCAAUACUAUUCUUAUCUUGAAGCAAUACCAAACGCACAAAAGCCAAAUUCAGUAAAAGCGAUUGGCCUAGAAACUCACGUUGAUAGCGUCCUGAGCGCGAAAACAUUUCCCGAAGCGCUACAGGAAAGUAUACAUUGCCUUGAAGAGGUAAUGAUUGGUCUUUGGCAAGCCCUUCUUUUACCUCAUCCUCGAACAAAUCGUGUGCAUUGUAAUGUGUGCGCAUCAUAUGUAAAAUAGUUUCUUCAGAAGAAACACGUUCCGUACCAAUUAGUUGACUGAACAGACGGGCAGUGAGGAAGCGACCUUCGACAAGUUUCCCACGUGCGCAUAAUGUAUACGCCAUAAUAGCCGAUACUUGAGACUUUUGUAUGCUGAUGUUUUGCUGAUCCACGCUACCCGGAUUACUACUGACCUGUGCCAUUUGCGGAUUUUCGAAAAUAUAGCAAUCGGCUUUCGGUAUAAGGUAAUCAAUAUACAACAGUCGUUGUACCAAAUCA
Molecule: long non-coding RNA, 768 nt
Organism: Rhagoletis pomonella (apple maggot)
Lineage: Eukaryota; Metazoa; Arthropoda; Insecta; Diptera; Tephritidae
Exons: 3
Source: RefSeq, a predicted model, not a curated record